This 398-nucleotide ribosomal RNA is filed under the name uncultured Centroheliozoa. RNAcentral's name for it is "partial small subunit ribosomal RNA". It matches the Rfam family "Eukaryotic small subunit ribosomal RNA", at positions 30 to 432 of the family's 1831-position model. Lineage: Eukaryota; Centroplasthelida. The record is from RNAcentral.
GCUUGUCUCAAAGAUUAAGCCAUGCAUGUCUUAGUGUAAAUAACUCUUAUGAAACUGCGAAUGGCUCAUUAAAUCAGUUAUCGUUUAUUUGAUGGUCCCUUACUACAUGGAUAACCGUAGUAAUUCUAGAGCUAAUACAUGCGUCAAGCCCCGACUUCGGAAGGGGUGCAUUUAUUAGAUUCAAACCAUCGGCCUUCACGGGUCUUUGAUGGUGAGUCAUAAUAACUGAGCGAAUCGAAUGGCCUUGUGCCGUCGAUGCUUCAUUCAAAUUUCUGCCCUAUCAGCUUUCGAUGGUAGGAUCUUGGCCUACCAUGGCUAUAACGGGUAACGGGGAAUUAGGGUUCGAUUCCGGAGAGGGAGCUUGAGAAACGGCUACCACAUCUAAGGAAGGCAGCAGG